Molecule: ribosomal RNA, 253 nt
Filed under: uncultured prokaryote
Description: partial 16S ribosomal RNA
Rfam family: Bacterial small subunit ribosomal RNA
Source: RNAcentral
UACGUAGGGUGCGAGCGUUAAUCGGAAUUACUGGGCGUAAAGCGUGCGCAGGCGGUUUCGUAAGACCAAUGUGAAAUCCCCGGGCUUAACCUGGGAACUGCAUAGGUGACUGCGAGGCUAGAGUACGGCAGAGGGGGGUAGAAUUCCACGUGUAGCAGUGAAAUGCGUAGAUAUGUGGAGGAAUACCGAUGGCGAAGGCAGCCCCCUGGGUCGAUACUGACGCUCAGGCACGAAAGCGUGGGGAGCAAACAGG